RNAcentral lists this ribosomal RNA (424 nucleotides) under uncultured prokaryote. RNAcentral's name for it is "bacterial SSU rRNA". It matches the Rfam family "Bacterial small subunit ribosomal RNA", at positions 355 to 796 of the family's 1533-position model. The record is from RNAcentral.
UGGGGAAUCUUAGACAAUGGGGGAAACCCUGAUCUAGCCAUGCCGCGUGAGUGACGAAGGCCUUAGGGUCGUAAAGCUCUUUCGCCAGGGAUGAUAAUGACAGUACCUGGUAAAGAAACCCCGGCUAACUCCGUGCCAGCAGCCGCGGUAAUACGGAGGGGGUUAGCGUUGUUCGGAAUUACUGGGCGUAAAGCGCACGUAGGCGGACUAUUAAGUCAGGGGUGAAAUCCCGGGGCUCAACCCCGGAACUGCCUUUGAUACUGGUAGUCUUGAGUUCGAGAGAGGUGAGUGGAAUUCCGAGUGUAGAGGUGAAAUUCGUAGAUAUUCGGAGGAACACCAGUGGCGGAGGCGGCUCACUGGCUCGAUACUGACGCUGAGGUGCGAAAGCGUGGGGAGCAAACAGGAUUAGAUACCCCCGUAGUCC